UGCAGUCGAGCGGACCGACGGGAGCUUGCUCCCUUAGGUCAGCGGCGGACGGGUGAGUAACACGUGGGUAACCUGCCUGUAAGACUGGGAUAACUCCGGGAAACCGGGGCUAAUACCGGAUGCUUGAUUGAACCGCAUGGUUCAAUUAUAAAAGGUGGCUUUUAGCUACCACUUACAGAUGGACCCGCGGCGCAUUAGCUAGUUGGUGAGGUAACGGCUCACCAAGGCGACGAUGCGUAGCCGACCUGAGAGGGUGAUCGGCCACACUGGGACUGAGACACGGCCCAGACUCCUACGGGAGGCAGCAGUAGGGAAUCUUCCGCAAUGGACAAAAGUCUGACGGAGCAACGCCGCGUGAGUGAUGAAGGUUUUCGGAUCGUAAAACUCUGUUGUUAGGGAAAAACAAGUACCGUUCGAAUAGGGCGGUACCUUGACGGUACCUAACCAGAAAGCCACGGCUAACUACGUGCCAGCAGCCGCGGUAAUACGUAGGUGGCAAGCGUUGUCCGGAAUUAUUGGGCGUAAAGCGCGCGCAGGCGGUUUCUUAAGUCUGAUGUGAAAGCCCCCGGCUCAACCGGGGAGGGUCAUUGGAAACUGGGGAACUUGAGUGCAGAAGAGGAGAGUGGAAUUCCACGUGUAGCGGUGAAAUGCGUAGAGAU
This 659-nucleotide ribosomal RNA is filed under the name Bacillus licheniformis. RNAcentral describes it as "bacterial SSU rRNA". It matches the Rfam family "Bacterial small subunit ribosomal RNA", at positions 56 to 697 of the family's 1533-position model. Lineage: Bacteria; Bacillati; Bacillota; Bacilli; Caryophanales; Bacillaceae. The record is from RNAcentral.